Molecule: long non-coding RNA, 470 nt
Filed under: Rattus norvegicus (Norway rat)
Lineage: Eukaryota; Metazoa; Chordata; Mammalia; Rodentia; Muridae
Description: long non-coding RNA NONRATT027467
Source: RNAcentral
CCCAGCUUGGCUGUGAGCAAAAACUCCCAGGCCUUUGUGUCACCUCCAUAUAAUAUGACAAAUUUACCCGAGCUGCUAAUCUGUCUAAGAGUCUUUCACAGCAUCUGUUACAGAAUUGGACCUCGGCGUUUGAACAGACACUUCGGGAGCUGAGAGCGACCAUCAUUCAAGUAAAUUCUACCCGACUGGACCUGUCUUUGACGGAGGGAUUGUCGUCCUGGAUCACCUCAGCAGUCUCUUAUUUCAAGGAAUGGGUGGGAGUGGGACUUUUUGGAGUGAUCCUCUGCUGUGGAUUAGUGUUACUCCUCUGGUUGCUUUGCAAAUUGAAAUCUCAAACAAGAAAGGACAAAGUAGUGAUCGCCCAGGCGCUUGUAGCCCUUGAACAAGGAGCGUCAGCCGAUAUCUGGUUGACCAUGCUCAAGCAACAGGUCGCCGGCUGGACAGCUCUUGCACUCCUAGAACCUCGGUUC